AAAACACCUAAAAUUCAACAGUUGUGGGGUUUUUUUCUUGGCUUAUUUUAACAUGGAGGUCGCAAAUAUUUCUAUAGAUAUUUGUAGUGAAUCUGACAUCAACCUUAGUUGUUACAAUUAAUAUAACAAGAUGGCUAAAUUAACUAACGGUCAUGUCACCCUGCUAACUUGUCACUGCAGUAACAUUAGCUGCUCUGUUUCAACGAUGUCCUGCUGGAAAAAACCUACAUGCUGGCCGAUGUUCAACCGAGCUCUUCUGUCGGGACAUUCAGUGACUUAAACCAACACAACCUGCUCCCUCAUGUCUUCCUGUCCUCUGACAGCAUCACCAGGGUGCAGUUUGACAUCCUGAAAAUGAGAUUGAUAAGAUACCAUGCAGCAUCACAGCUCUUAGCUCUCAACUUGUUGACCUCGGAGAGACUCUGCGAUGUCAGUGCGCUCCUGAGAUUCCACCAGCUCAUCUUGACAUUCCUGAGCCU
Molecule: long non-coding RNA, 479 nt
Organism: Epinephelus lanceolatus (giant grouper)
Lineage: Eukaryota; Metazoa; Chordata; Actinopteri; Perciformes; Serranidae
Source: RefSeq, a predicted model, not a curated record